AUACACAGCCAUAUCACCCUGCAGCCCAAGAUUACUCACUGAAGCUAAGCAGGGCUGAGCCUGGUCAGUAUCUGGAUGGGAGACCACAUGGGAAAACUAGGAAGCUGUUGGAU
This 113-nucleotide ribosomal RNA is filed under the name Danio rerio (zebrafish). The record is from RNAcentral. Lineage: Eukaryota; Metazoa; Chordata; Actinopteri; Cypriniformes; Danionidae.